This 466-nucleotide ribosomal RNA is filed under the name uncultured bacterium. Its description in RNAcentral is "partial 16S ribosomal RNA". It matches the Rfam family "Bacterial small subunit ribosomal RNA", at positions 28 to 507 of the family's 1533-position model. The record is from RNAcentral.
GACGAACGCUGGCGGCGUGCUUAACACAUGCAAGUCGAACGGAAAGGCCCUGCUUUUGUGGGGUGCUCGAGUGGCGAACGGGUGAGUAACACGUGAGUAACCUGCCCUUGACUUUGGGAUAACUUCAGGAAACUGGGGCUAAUACCGGAUAGGAGCUCCUGCUGCAUGGUGGGGGUUGGAAAGUUUCGGCGGUUGGGGAUGGACUCGCGGCUUAUCAGCUUGUUGGUGGGGUAGUGGCUUACCAAGGCUUUGACGGGUAGCCGGCCUGAGGGUGACCGGCGACAUUGGGACUGAGAUACGGCCCAGACUCCUACGGGAGGCAGCAGUGGGGAAUAUUGCACAAUGGGCGGAAGCCUGAUGCAGCAGCGCCGCGUGCGGGAUGACGGCCUUCGGGUUGUAAACCGCUUUCGCCUGUGACGAAGCGUGAGUGACGGUAAUGGGUAAAGAAGCACCGGCUAACUACGUG